AUUGAACGCGGGCGGCAUGCCUUACACAUGCAGGUCGAACGGCAGCACGGGUGCUUGCACCUGGUGGCGAGUGGCGAACGGGUGAGUAAUACAUCGGAACAUGUCCUGUAGUGGGGGAUAGCCCGGCGAAAGCCGGAUUAAUACCGCAUACGAUCUACGGAUGAAAGCGGGGGACCUUCGGGCCUCGCGCUAUAGGGUUGGCCGAUGGCUGAUUAGCUAGUUGGUGGGGUAAAGGCCUACCAAGGCGACGAUCAGUAGCUGGUCUGAGAGGACGACCAGCCACACUGGGACUGAGACACGGCCCAGACUCCUACGGGAGGCAGCAGUGGGGAAUUUUGGACAAUGGGCGAAAGCCUGAUCCAGCAAUGCCGCGUGUGUGAAGAAGGCCUUCGGGUUGUAAAGCACUUUUGUCCGGAAAGAAAUCCUUGGCCCUAAUACGGUCGGGGGAUGACGGUACCGGAAGAAUAAGCACCGGCUAACUACGUG
RNAcentral lists this ribosomal RNA (486 nucleotides) under uncultured bacterium. RNAcentral describes it as "partial 16S ribosomal RNA". It matches the Rfam family "Bacterial small subunit ribosomal RNA", at positions 30 to 507 of the family's 1533-position model. The record is from RNAcentral.